RNAcentral lists this ribosomal RNA (431 nucleotides) under uncultured bacterium. Its description in RNAcentral is "partial 16S ribosomal RNA". It matches the Rfam family "Bacterial small subunit ribosomal RNA", at positions 30 to 507 of the family's 1533-position model. The record is from RNAcentral.
CGAACGCUGGCGGCAUGCCUAACACAUGCACGUCGAACGAGACCUUCGGGUCUAGUGGCGCACGGGUGCGUACCGCGUGGGAACCUGCCCUUAGGUUCGGAAUAACUCCCCGAAAGGGGUGCUAAUACCGGAUAAUGUCUUCGGACCAAAGAUUUAUCGCCUUUGGAUGGGCCCGCGUUGGAUUAGCUAGUUGGUAGGGUAAAAGCCUACCAAGGCGACGAUCCAUAGCUGGUCUGAGAGGAUGAUCAGCCACACUGGGACUGAGACACGGCCCAGACUCCUACGGGAGGCAGCAGUGGGGAAUAUUGGACAAUGGGCGAAAGCCUGAUCCAGCAAUGCCGCGUGAGUGAUGAAGGCCUUAGGGUUGUAAAGCUCUUUUACCCGGGAUGAUAAUGACAGUACCGGGAGAAUAAGCUCCGGCUAACUCCGUG